Molecule: long non-coding RNA, 369 nt
Filed under: Ananas comosus (pineapple)
Lineage: Eukaryota; Viridiplantae; Streptophyta; Magnoliopsida; Poales; Bromeliaceae
Description: long non-coding RNA (ACOM_LNC019328)
Source: RNAcentral
UAAAUCCUAGCACCCGUUUGGUUCGGGGUUAAUUCCACCCCUUAACUCUGAAGUUAUUUUCAAACACCCAAUUUGAGGGGCUAUUUCGGGAUAGCCCAUUUGGGGUGGGGUUAGCUAACCCCACCUCACCCCACUACUCCAACUAAACAAAAUACUAUUUUACCCACUAUCUUUAUUAUCCUACCUACUUCAAUCAAACACUAUUUUACUUAUAUCUGGAGUAAAUUCAAUUCUCAACCAAACACAAAAUUAUUCUAACCCCACCUUAACCCUAAACUUAACUCUAUCCAUGAAAUAACAAAUUUUUACUUAACCCCCAACCAAAUGGUGACUAAAAAAGAGAGGAGGGUAUAAGUACUCUCAUCAAAU